CGCAAAAGGUGAGCCAAACCUGGUGAAGGUUGCGCAUGUUGACCUUUAUUUCUUUGCUUCUUCUGAAGGUCGCCUGACAGCGGAGAAGCCAGCUGUUCCGCGCUCAGCGCGUCUUUCUCUGGAGUGACGAUGGCCACCGUUUUUGUGACUUUUUCAUGUCCGUAUUUGCUUCACGUUGAGCCUCACGUACAAUACCUGAAGAUGAAGUUUUGUUCGUUCGGCUCGCGUUAUGCAGGUAAAUCCAGCUGCUUGUGUGUCAGUGGGGGCAAAUGGAGGUGGAAGAGCAGAUGUCCCGCUCGCAUCAUCCUUACCUGGAUUAGUCACCGUGGAAACCUUCCACCUGAAGGAGGGCAUUUAUUCAGUACAAUCUGUGCGUCAGUGUAUGUGUAUGUAUGUUAGCAUGCACAUACACAAACAGUCAGUGGUGUGUGUGUGUGUGCUUGCUUGCUUGCUUGCAAAUGUGUGUGUGUGUAGGUGCAUUCACUGACUAUUCAAAUAGUUCAGACUCACACUGACCCAGAAAACAAGAUCUCUCUCAGGAGUGUUAACACAC
Long non-coding RNA from Toxotes jaculatrix (banded archerfish), 553 nucleotides. RefSeq lists it as uncharacterized. The record is from RefSeq and is a predicted model, not a curated record. Lineage: Eukaryota; Metazoa; Chordata; Actinopteri; Toxotidae. The transcript has 3 exons.